This 331-nucleotide ribosomal RNA is filed under the name uncultured eukaryote. RNAcentral describes it as "partial 18S ribosomal RNA". It matches the Rfam family "Eukaryotic small subunit ribosomal RNA", at positions 1470 to 1796 of the family's 1831-position model. The record is from RNAcentral.
CCCUUAGAUGUUCUGGGCCGCACGCGCGCUACACUGACGAAGUCAGCGAGCAUGUCCUACGCCGACAGGUGCGGGGAAUCUUGUCAAACUUCGUCGUGAUGGGGAUUGAUUUUUGAAAUUCUUGAUCAUAAACGAGGAAUUCCUAGUAAGCGCAAGUCAGCAGCUUGCGUUGAUUACGUCCCUGCCCUUUGUACACACCGCCCGUCGCUACUACCGAUUGAAUGGUUUAGUGAGAUCUUCGGAUUGGCGCCACUGCAGCUCAGCAAUGGGCUUGGUGGAUGCCGAAAAGUUGAUCAAACUUGAUCAUUGAGAGGAAGUAAAAGGCGUAACA